Non-coding RNA from Nicotiana tabacum (common tobacco), 1189 nucleotides. The record is from RefSeq and is a predicted model, not a curated record. NCBI's taxonomy places the organism in Eukaryota, Viridiplantae, Streptophyta, Magnoliopsida, Solanales, Solanaceae.
UCUUCUUUUUUUUUUUCCCUUUUAUAGUUUUUCCCAAUUUGUUUUACUUUGUGAUAUAUAUAUAUUAUGCUUUUAUUCCAAAGAAAUUGUUGUAGGAAAGGAGUAUCGAUGAUUCUGUUUUACUGGUCUUGUAUACUCAAUUUUGUACUUUGGAAUUUCAGUUUAGCUUUUCGAAACAUGGUGCGUUUUUACUCUUAUCAAACAUGGCCUCAACUCACUCUUGACUCAAUUGCGUAGGUGAUUUCUCAAAGGAGCACUGUUCUUUAAGGCAUGUCUCUGUGAUGCUCGCUUAUAGAAAUUGACUUUGAAUUUUAAUUAUUUCUUUGGGCAAUUUCGGAUUAGAGUGAUAUUUGGAGGUUAAAAAAGUUGAUUUAUGAUCAUCCUGAAGUAUGGCAAUGCUAAUGUUAUAAUCUGAGAUAAAGGUCUUUUAUUUUUCCAACUGAACAGGUUAAGAGAUGAAAGCAUGAAAAUUGUCUAAUCUUUAAAGAAGCAUAGUUAUGUCCUUCAAGUAAGGAGGUGUAGACUGAGGCAUCACAGUUUUGUAUACAUUUUGUAGCUCUGUGACUAAUCAGAAAUUCAUUUUUGGUCUAUCCCUGAUCUGUUUAACAUGUGAAUAUUAAAGAAACCAACAGUUCAUACUGUAAUAUUCUGAAAUUAUUUUCUUUAUCAAAGAUGAGUAUGAUAAUAUGUAGGCAUUCCGUCCAAAAUCCUUAUCUCAGAGUAUAAACAGUGUCCAAGUGCUGGCCAGUAAUUACCAGGUAGAAGUUCUUGCAAAGAAGAAUUUUUACUCUAUAUAUAUUUACUCUCGAACUUUCCUGUUAUAUGCGACUUCCUCGAAAAAUUUAGUGUUAGCCAAAUUCCCAAGGAAGUGAUCUUCUUCACUUUGCUCUCUAUUGCUUAUCCUCAUGUUCGAUUUACACUAUCGAUUAACUUCAUAGCAGCAGAAAUUACAGUAACUAUGUCUAUGAUAAGUUGGAUUUUUAUGAAUGUGUUUCUAUAACUUCCUAUUUUAGGCCCUAGGAAGAAGAUGUGAUGGAAGCAUGUCGCAGGUUUCUAAGAAAUGUGUCGGUGAAAGACGGUGCUCUUCUUAGUUGGAGGAAUUGAGGAAAAGGGUUCGAUAUUUGGAAGGAGAAAAUGGAUCGGAAAAUGAAGCAGGGUUUGAGAGAAGUAUAGGAGAUUUAGCUGACCA